RNAcentral lists this transfer RNA (85 nucleotides) under bacterium 336/3. It matches the Rfam family "tRNA". Rfam says of the family: Transfer RNA (tRNA) molecules are approximately 80 nucleotides in length. Their secondary structure includes four short double-helical elements and three loops (D, anti-codon, and T loops). Lineage: Bacteria; Pseudomonadati. The record is from Rfam by way of RNAcentral.
ACCGAUAUGGUGGAAUUGGCAGACACGACAGUUUUAAACACUGUUUUCUUUGAAAGUUAUGAGGGUUCGAGUCCCUCUAUCGGUA